RNAcentral lists this unclassified non-coding RNA (827 nucleotides) under Hevea brasiliensis (rubber tree). Lineage: Eukaryota; Viridiplantae; Streptophyta; Magnoliopsida; Malpighiales; Euphorbiaceae. The record is from RNAcentral.
CUAGUGCACAAUUAAAGCCCAAUUUAUGGAAGAAUUAACAGCAAACUUUUUCUUCCUUGAUGGCAUCUGGGAUACUUCGUUUUUAACUUAUUGGUUCAAUGAUUUUGCCAUAUUUUAUGACAUAGAAAUAUAGAUUAAUUUUUUAUGCACUGGCAGAAAUGUAUAUAAUGAAACAAUUGUGAAAAUGGUUAGAAUGCAAGUUUCUUGCUAAAAAUUAUAUAGCAUCCUUGACUCCUUGGAUGUUUUAGGUUGUGGGAGGUGAAUUCUGAUAACUAGAUAGGAAGUUUGGGCCCUGAUGAAUAUGGUUAUUAUCCUCUCUACUUAUGUACAAUGACAGUAAUUUGUGUUUAAAGCCUUGCUCCAGAUUUCAUAAUGAGGAACAUUUACUAAACAUACUAAUUUAUGAUAUAAAAGAAAUGAUCUGUUGACCUAAUUAAACCUCUCGCAAGAAGGAAUAAUGGUCUUUGAUAGGAACCAUGAGUGUCCUUUUCUUUUUCCCCCUUAUUUUGGGUUUUGGGAUGGUAGGGUGGUGGGUUGUUGUAUUGGGUAGGUAAGGUAACUUCUACAAAAGCUUUGCACUUAUGAUAUGCGUGUGCCCGCAUGUGCAUGUAAAUAUGUAUGUAUCAGGACAUCAAAGAAAAGAACAGUGAUGUUAAUUAUAACUAUAUUGAUUUCUUCUUCUUCUGUUGACAUUUUGAGUAAUCAUAUUUCAUUGGCUUUUAGUAUUGUUUUGGGUCUCUGAGUUCUUUGGAGGUUUUAGUAAAUAUCUAUUAUAAACUGCAUUGUGGAUUAGAUGAUACGUUCCUUCCUAAUUAACAGAAUCAUUC